Molecule: long non-coding RNA, 298 nt
Filed under: Sorghum bicolor (sorghum)
Lineage: Eukaryota; Viridiplantae; Streptophyta; Magnoliopsida; Poales; Poaceae
Description: long non-coding RNA (SBIC_LNC013288)
Source: RNAcentral
GCCGGAGGUUGCUCGACCCGGCCACCCCGGGAGUUCCUCCUUAGCCUGGUCCAGUCGGAGGUUCCUCGGCCUGGCCGCGUUCUCCCGCCAUCCUCGGACCCGGGAGGGUCGGAGGUUCCCCCCUUUCCUUGCUCGUGGACCUCCGCCGGUGUCUCAGUCCCUGCACACACUUAGCACGACCAGACGAGUCGUCAACAUUAGCAUUUCCCGAUGAAGGAUAUCCUCCGACGCCUCAGACGUCGGAGGUUCCUCGGGUGAAGGAUAACCUUUGACGCUACCAGGGGGAAGGAUGCAGCUG